Molecule: non-coding RNA, 465 nt
Organism: Notechis scutatus (mainland tiger snake)
Lineage: Eukaryota; Metazoa; Chordata; Lepidosauria; Squamata; Elapidae
Source: RefSeq, a predicted model, not a curated record
CUGGACAACUGAGCCUUUUGGUUUUCUCCAUCUUACCCCAAAAUAAUCAGAAUGGAAUAAAAAUAUUUACAACGCUGGCAUUCUAAGAAAAAGAUGUAUGGACAUGGCAUCAGGAUAAGCUGACAGACAGCUGAAUGAUUUCGAAGACACGAACAGAUGAAGGGAAGAAACAGUAUCUCGUGUUCUUGAAAAACUGGGAGAAAAAGUAGAGAGGCUGUGGCAGCUGAAAGCAUCCAAACUUAGAAAUCAAAAUGUUGCUGUAUGCCUUUUAAAUACAGGAGCUGCAUGGAUAUGUUAAACACUACAAAUCAGGUACUACCAUCUCCCCUAUCCACAUUUCUGAUUUUGCUUAUCAGCGUUUGCAAAGUCUGAAGUGUUUCUGUGGCAGUUGUUUGUCCAUUUGAAUCCUAAAACCCAGAGCACUUUAGCUUCUUCGUUUUCUAUUAAGUUGUCUAUGUGUUGUGG